GUGGGGAAUAUUGGACAAUGGGCGAAAGCCUGAUCCAGCCAUGCCGCGUGUGUGAAGAAGGUCUUCGGAUUGUAAAGCACUUUAAGUUGGGAGGAAGGGCAGUAAGUUAAUACCUUGCUGUUUUGACGUUACCGACAGAAUAAGCACCGGCUAACUUCGUGCCAGCAGCCGCGGUAAUACGAAGGGUGCAAGCGUUAAUCGGAAUUACUGGGCGUAAAGCGCGCGUAGGUGGUUUUGUAAAGUGGGAGUGAAAUCCCCGGGCUCAACCUGGGAACUGCCUCCAAAACUGCAUGACUAGAGUACGGUAGAUGGUAGUGGAAUUUCCUGUGUAGCGGUGAAAUGCGUAGAUAUAGGAAGGAACACCAGUGGCGAAGGCGACUACCUGGACUGAUACUGACACUGAGGUGCGAAAGCGUGGGGAGCAAACAGGAUUAGAUACCCCAGUAGUCC
RNAcentral lists this ribosomal RNA (450 nucleotides) under uncultured bacterium. Its description in RNAcentral is "bacterial SSU rRNA". It matches the Rfam family "Bacterial small subunit ribosomal RNA", at positions 354 to 796 of the family's 1533-position model. The record is from RNAcentral.